CCCCUCCCGGGCUCGCCCCGAUCGGAUCUGCUCACCCGCCCACCUGCCCGCCCGCUGACCCUGACCCGAGUCGACGCCACGGAUCUGAGGCUCCCGCCCAGCUGCUCCCGAGCCCUGCCCCGCGCCCCUGCCCGUGCUCCGACGAUCCGCGGAGCUUUUGGUCGCGCCUGGGGAUGGCGCUUCCUGCGAGGGGUGGUUUCGUCUGUAGGGUUUGAUUUGAUUUGUUGCUUGCCUGUGGGAGGAUUCUAUUAGGUUGGACUGCUCCGGCUUCUCAGCUGGCGUGGACUCCCUGUGGUGAUGCUGGGUGAGAAAAUUGCAAAGCGGACAAGCGCUUGACUGAAGAAUCUUAUUGGUUUGUCCCCAUUUGGAUAUUCGGAUGUGUUGAAUUGAGUUGAGGGAGCUUUUUCGGGUGUGUUUCUGCUAAGCUAGCUGUCCACAGAAGUGGGAGCAGCCUGAAUUGUGAAAAGCAAUCAAUCAUAGCUAACUGCUUGGCUGAUUGAUCAGAUUGGCUUGUCUCGCUUCUGCACAAACACAAGGAAUGAAGGUGCUGUAAGCUGAAUCCCUUACUACUGGUGGUGUUGUGCAAACUGAGGAGCAGUGGUGGCGGCAAACCAAACAUUGGAGAGUAUUCACUCCAUCCUGGUUUGGUCAGCCAGCUUCUUGACUCGAGCAUCAGAUUGACAAUCUGGAUGGAGUGCUUAUUGGUGCUUGGUUAAGGGCAAUGUUGAGUAGGAAAUCAUUGCAACCUAUGCCUUAACCAUCGCACUUGUUUGCAGCUGUCACACUAUGUACCUAUACCUAGUGGUCGUAUCUGUGUUCCUCUUCCAUUUCAUUAUAUUUAUUGUUAGGUUGGCCUACAAACAUUUUAUUCCAGGCAGAAUCAUAUGUACGAAUUGGUGUCAUUCCUAGUGUAUGUUGAGGCAACCAGAUUUUAUUA
Molecule: long non-coding RNA, 937 nt
Organism: Sorghum bicolor (sorghum)
Lineage: Eukaryota; Viridiplantae; Streptophyta; Magnoliopsida; Poales; Poaceae
Exons: 2
Source: RefSeq, a predicted model, not a curated record